UAUUACUUUUUGAUAGGUCCAUGUAUAUAUUUCUUCAUCAUCUAACCAGAAAAAUAAAAUAAAAAGUUAACAUCAAUCCUAAAAAAUGGCCUCUCGUACCUAUCAACCUCGUUUUUGUUUAAUUUUGUGUUUUGCGUUCAUUUUGCUUUCAGGUUUCGCAAUGAGUCUUGAUCCGGCAUUUGUGUGCGCUGGGAGUUGCAAAGAUGUUGAAAGAUGCAAUCAAUUUUGUUUUAGUAAGGGCUUUAAGAAAGGUGGAUUUUGUGAUGUUUUCACUCCAGAUAACAAAUGUUGUUGUCAAUAACGUUAUUAUUGUGCUAUCCAAUGCAACUAUUUAAAUAAAACACAGAUAGUUUGGAAUUUUCUAUAA
This is a long non-coding RNA of Lathyrus oleraceus (garden pea), 367 nucleotides long. RefSeq lists it as uncharacterized. The record is from RefSeq and is a predicted model, not a curated record. The transcript has 2 exons. NCBI's taxonomy places the organism in Eukaryota, Viridiplantae, Streptophyta, Magnoliopsida, Fabales, Fabaceae.